ACGUAGGUGGCAAGCGUUGUCCGGAAUUAUUGGGCGUAAAGCGCGCGCAGGUGGUUAUAUAAGUCUGAUUUUAAAGUUCGGGGCUCAACCCCGUGAUGGAUUGGAAACUGUAUAACUUGAGUACAGUAGAGGUAAGCGGAAUUCCCAGUGUGGCGGUGAAAUGCGUAGAUAUUGGGAGGAACGCCAGUGGCGAAGGCGGCUUACUGGGCUGUAACUGACAUUGAGUCGCGAGAGCCAGGGGAACACACGG
RNAcentral lists this ribosomal RNA (250 nucleotides) under uncultured prokaryote. Its description in RNAcentral is "partial 16S rRNA". It matches the Rfam family "Bacterial small subunit ribosomal RNA", at positions 525 to 775 of the family's 1533-position model. The record is from RNAcentral.